This 7450-nucleotide long non-coding RNA is filed under the name Gallus gallus (chicken). Lineage: Eukaryota; Metazoa; Chordata; Aves; Galliformes; Phasianidae. The record is from RNAcentral.
UGAAAACCUGUUCAGUCCUUGCACUGUUGUAAGACUGAUUCCUGUGAAGAAACAGGCUGCUAAAAAGAGAACUGGUGAGCUCAAAGAAAGAUACCCACUUCUACCAUGUUCUAGGAAGACCUCUAUGUCAACAGUACAAAUAUAAGCAUGAUGCCAGAUGUUCUGAAAAUUUCCUUGGGUCCCUCUUUCUGAGAGUUCGGGAGUGAAAGGAGCUGAUUUGGUUUAAAGGUGUUGUCACUCCAUCACAGAAGGCCACAGGAUUGGUCAGACACGACCUUCCUUGGUGAAGACAUGCUGGCUGCCUUGGGUCACUCCGCAUGCGUUACAUCUGUAUACAUGGACCAAUGCUCACGUUCUCUGAAGAUUAAUAUUAUCCCUCAUUUGCAGAACCAUUAAAAACUUGUAAUCAAGCAAAUGAGAACGUAAAUCUGUACAUUUUGGACAGAUUUUCUACAAUCAUUCCCAAACAUAAUUUUUUAAGUGAUAGGAUCACAUUUCAUCUGAAUAUCAAGAAGUUGAAAUCUACAGCUGAAUGCAUCUCUUGUCAGAUAGUCCAUAUCUGAGAAAGGAGAUGAGAAGUAGCUUCUUGUGGAUUGCAGAUUGCAGAGUACUAACCCCAUAAGCAGAUUGCAGAGUACUUACUGAAAGAUUCAAGUUAAUGUUGACAGAAAUGAGAAAACCCAAGACAACCUACAUGAAUGAAACGUGAACUGAAAUAAAUAUUAACAGUGAUAUCAUCAAUAGGAAUCAAGCUUCUCCAGGAAGGAUACUCCAACAAACUAGAUUUCAUAUCACUUCUGACACUUGAUGUACUGCCUCCAAAAGGCAGUAUUCAUGGAAAUACAAGCUAUCUUUCUUACCAUGGGAAUGUUCCCUAAGUAUCUGCAUCAAUAUCUGUAAACUUUUGAGACCUGGAGAAAUAAAUACAGCAGUGUUGUAUUCUGACUUCUGCUUCAGUGAAGAUCUAACUGAAUUUCUUGAGGAGAUGAUUUUUAUGGACUACCAAAGGAGGCAGGCAUCCUGAAAUUACCUUAAGUCUUACAGAACAAUUGGGUGAUGCAAGUACAUUUAAGCAGUAUGUACUGUUGUAUGUAUUGAUGUAAUUCCAGGGCAGUCAAUUGAAUAAUUUAUCCUAGGGAAAAGUAAGACAGCAAUUUUUUCCACCUCCUCAUCCUGGAUACUCCUGUCAUAGUCACUAAACUGAGACUUGUGGUUACAGUGACAGAGGGGGAAAAAGUGCUGUACUUUCAAGGAUCAAAUUUCUGUUGAUGUCACUGAAACAAGGACAGUUUCAUUCACUGGAAGACUAUAAGAUUUUUCCUCUAUGUUAUAGGUAAAUAUGAGGUGCUCCAAAAGUAAUGCCUCCUAUUUUGUUAUGUUGUCCUGUGACAUCAAAAUGGGUGUUGGUGGCAUGGCAGUAGGGGUUGAACCUUCCCACCAAUAUUUCAUUAUUUUUUGUUGUCGUGAGACAGAUGGCAGCUGAAAAUUUGCUCUAUCAAAUAGUGUUAUUGUGCUUUUUUUGUGUGUGUAUAGUUACCAUGGUAAUAAAUAGAAAGCAUUACUUUUGGAGCAUCCUACGUAGAUUCUUCUGUUUUGGUUCUGGAUAUCCUUAUUUUUUGCUAGCAUGAUAUCUGCUCUGUGUUAGAAUCAAAGAACCACAGAAUCACCACAGUUGGAAAAGACCUCCAAGAACAUUCAGUCCAACCAUCCACCUACCAACCAUAGCUGCCCACUAAACCAUGUCCCUUAGUACAGCAUCUAAACAUGCGAUGGUAGUCCCAUAUAGAAGGGACUACCUCUCUUUUAUCUCAUAGGCACUAUGUCAACAUAACCUUCAGGAAAAUAACAAUAACUUUCUUAUCCCAAAUUCUAAUUACAAAAUGUAAUGACUGUAGGUGGAUAACGAUGGCUAAACAGGGACCAAUAUACAACACCGAGGAAACAGUAUUUUGAAAUGAGAAAUUAGUCUUCUGCUAUGAGGAAAAUAAAUCAGUCAUUCUAUAUUCAAUAUGGGAACUUCUGAGAACUUGAUCUUUGCUUUUCUAUAGCAAAGAAGAAAAAUGCACUGAAAUUUCAGUCUGCUUUUAUUUUCUAUGUUUUUGAGCAAAAAAAAAAAAAAAAAUUGGAACGUGAACCACUGAGUCUCAUACCACUGUCUUGGUAUGUUGUGGUUAUGGCAUGUGGGUUAUUUUUUUCUGAAAAUGAUAUAAAAUACUUGAUGUUCCUCUGUAUUUUAUUCUGAAUAAUCUUUUCUGAAUGGAACUUUGUCCUAAUACAAGUGCCACUAAAAUAAAGGUUAACCUCACUGACUGUAUCUAACUUCAGUGGAAAAGUUUUUAUAAAUUACCUUAUUGUUUCACAGGCCUUGGAGAGUGCUGUUGUGGAUGGCAAUGAGUGUGACUCAUCUGGCUAUAGAGCUGGAAAUGGAAAUGUAAUAUUAAAGAAAAUAAAUAACAAGACUGAAAAGAGAAUUAAAUGAGGAAAUGAGGCAUGAAUGCGUGAGACAGAGGUUAGUCUACUGCAUGUAAGUAGAUAUCACCUAAUUAUUUGGGAAGCAGAACUUAGUAAGGGAACUGCAGGUUCAUGAGUGAACUAGAGCACUCUAGGAUAUGCCUAGCAAUUUCACUUAUUGCAGCAGGUAGAUCUGCCAUUCCGUAGUGUAUAAGGGAAUAGCUUGAAAAUCCCUCUUUGAAAGAAAUGCAUUAUGAGUAUUGAUUGAUUAAUUUGUAUUGUAAGUGUUACGAUGGAUUUUUUGCAUUGCCUAUAAGCAGCUUAUCACAUUCCGAUUUCCAAAAUCAUUCUUUUAAAGAAGAAAAAUACCUUAAAUUUACUUUAAUAUACAAGAGCUAGGUCUUGAAACUUAACAUAAGCUUUGUUGCAUGAAAAUCUGAACUUAGAGCUAGCAAUACAACUGGGGCAGCAUCUCUCGGUUCUCAGUAGAAUCCAGGCAGCCCUUCUUACCCAGAAAGAGUAUCACUGUCCUCACUCUAACCCUAAAUUUAUGCAUUACCUUUGAGUAGCCCAGUUCUUCACUAUUCAUCAUGUACAACUGUUUGAGAACUCUUACACUUUUACAAAGAGAAAAGUAACUCUUCUUGAUCUGUAAAGGCAGCUGAGACUGAAUUUGGUGCACAAAGUUACUUUUCUACGUAAUUUGACAACCGAGUGUACCCUUACUGCUAUGGAAACGCUUUACCUUUCCUAUGUCAGUUACCCAAAUGUCACUACAGCACCAGGUCAUAAAACAAACCCCUCUCCAAAAUUUUAUGCAAAAAUUCAUUAGAAAGAAUGAAUAUCUUAAACUAUAGCUCCAAUAAAUGUAUUGAACUAUAUCUAUAAUAACUAAAUAAUGUGGAUAAUUGUACAUGCUGUUAAUGUGUAAUGAUGUGCUAAUACUCAUAAAAGCAUUGUUGCUGUGAAGUCUCUAAGAAGUUACAGAAGUAAGGCUUACAAAAUAAAAGCAAUCAAGAAGAAAUUCAAAAUAAAAACUAUCUUUCAAAAUUCUGGGCUUGUGUAUCCAUGUAAGCUACAAACAUAAGACAAAACUACUCAAUAAUUUUCAUGUGAAACCUUGUUAACAAUUUGUAUCAAUAAAUACAGGUUAAUUGAGGUGUGCUCAUUAACAUUUUACUGUAUUUGUAAAACUAUUUGAGACUUUUGCAGUUUGUUUUUUGGAACUGUGAUAUAGACAUUAUCAUACAAGCCUGUUAGAAAAACAGAAUAAAAAUUGCAUGACCAGCUUCUUAAAUGUAGAUAUUAACGUAUUAAUAUUCAUAUUAUAUAUUACUUAUAUAAUAUAUUCUUAUAUACAUGUAUAAAUAAUUUAUUUAAUAUAUUUAGAUUAUAAUUCUUUUGUCAAAAUAGAUCAUAUAGAGAGACCUUUUUAUUCUCCAGGUUUUAUUUUGGAUUUGUAAAGAAACACGAAGGGUAUAACUGAGGGUUAUGAGAUUUCUUAUUUUUUACAUCGCAGAUGUAUAGUGUUUAGGACAGUGUUCAUGGCAAGGCAGAGGUCUGGAGGCUAUUACAUAGACAAAUAACAGGAGGUUGCAAGCCUCUAAGUUCAGGCCCAGCUGAGUCAGGCCCCACAGAUCUGAACAUACAAGUGAGGUCAAAUAAUAAUGCUACUUAUUCAGAAACUUGCCAAAGCCAUUCUUGAUAAUGAUAACAUGGCAGAGGAAGCAGGGGCUAGCACAGGUAGAAUAUACUCUAAACUCAUCUGUUUAGCUUCAUACUUGUGGAAGUCACAGCACAGGUCCCUGUAACUAGAAGAGGGCUGUGUCUUUUUCUUAAGUCUGAAUAGACUUCUUUCCCAAUUUUUUUAUUAUUAUUUUUUUUAAUAGGAUGAUUUUUUUUAAUAGGAUUUGUGACACUUUCAAGGCAUUUUCCAAGGCCCGUAAAACAAGCUACUGAAAUAUUACUAAAUUUCUGUUCUUGACAGCUAAAAAGACUAAGGAUCUAAGAGUGUUUGUUAUUUGUCGUAUACAAGCCAGUUCAUUUCCCAUACAUGUAAAAUACAAAUACAGUUCCUUUUUAAAGGAAAUGAACCAUUUGAAAACUUAAGAACAAAAUAAAUCAUAUUCCCCAAUGUCUCAUUGAGUGCUGGGAGCCUGAAUCUAGAUUUAGAAAAGGCAAAUGAAAAUAUAUCCUGUAUUAAAGUGUCAAGAGUAGUUUAGAAAAUUUUGGUUGGAAAACAAAGUGCCAUUUAUAGUAUAUGUUUGGAUAUUCCCUGAAAAAAAAAAGGCACUAAGACUUCAGGGGUUGGACAGAGCAAGACAAUGAUGGCUGCCCUCCCAGAUAUGCCUAGCGUUCAAAGUAGCGUCCCUCUGCACAGGAGCCCUUACUGCCACAGCGGUAGAGGAAAAUUCAGUUUUUACACUCUCUGCUACAGUGCAGGAUGAGUUGUGGCUGUUCUACAUACCUUUGUUAUAUCCCAAAUCAGAUGUUUUUGUAAGAUGGGAUAGCCAGGUCCAAGAAUGACUCAAAUACAGCACUCACACUGCUGAGGAUUCAUAUGUAAUCUGCCAUCUUUAUCCUUUUACCUCUGGCAUAAACAUCUUCCACCAUCUUGAACUUCCAGAUGGGAAUCUAUUGUAUAGUGGGAAGGAAGAAUGGGAGAAAGAAUGCAGUGAGUAUUAUAAAAGCCUGUUUAUUAGAUGCUGUAACUCUAUAACUCUAUAACUCUAUAACUUUAUUUAUUUAUUUUUAAAAACUCCUUUUGAGGCACUGGCAUCAAACUACAGUGUCCGUACGUAAUCUAUUGUAUAUCUUCAGCAAGAGACUGAAGUCAUAUAUGCAGAUUUAAGAGUUCUGAUUUGGCCAGUCAUAAAAGUGUCAAAAAACAACCAAAAUAUGAAGUAAUCGCUAUAAAUGAGCAGAUUACGCAUACAAAAAAAGACAUAGGCAUGGAUCUGGUAUGUCUAAAUAUUUGGAAAAAUGAAAAACUGAUAACUACUUAAUUAAAACUGCAAUACUCCCAGUUUUGAAAGGCAGUAUGAAAGUUCACUAAGAUACUUCUUACAAACUCCUUUGAUCAUGAAGCACCAUUCCUUGUUAAACCGCCAUAAUACACAGCAAGCAAGACUGGAGACAGAAGUUUCUGCAUUUUCAUGUCCAUUACCGGCUGUUUUUCAUGCCACCCUUUACUCCCUAAGCCACAAAACAGAAAACAAAGGCCUUCUGACCAUCUGAUGUUUGAUUUCUCUUCUCAGAAAAUAAACCGUGAUCCAACAGCACUAUAGGUUACAGGUAGUUUUUUUGUGUGUUUGUUUGUUUUGUUGUGUUUUUUUAAUUCACUCUUAAAAUAUCAGCUGUGGUUAAUUAAUCAAACUUGAAUGCACUGUCUUUAUCAUUAAAAAAAAAAAAAAGAAGGUAUAUAUUCUUAAGGAUUUUUCCUGAAAUACUUUAAUUUAUAGAAGUAUAGCAGUCUAACAGAAUCUAAGUGCUAAAUAGGUCUCGGCUGCUGUUGGUAACUGUGCUCAUAUUUGAAAUCUUUUCUCCCUCAGCAAAUAUUCACCAAAUAAAGUGAACAGCCUUUCUUGUGUUUACUUCCUUGCUAAGACAGAUGCUGCCUUAUUAUCGGUAAACAAUCUUCUGAUAUAAAAUACUAAGUGCAAAGCAGAAUGGAUCUGAAUAUUGAUAUUUGAAAGCUGCAGUUGGUCUGUUCCAACAAAAGAUGGCACUGCUGUUUCCUUCAGAACUGUAAGGUCUAUUCCUUGAAAUUAAAGACUUUUAAAACAGUUCCCUCAUGUUUGUCACAGAAUACGCUCAUUGAGAUUGGUAUUUGUUAUUACUUAGCUACCAAGUUGGCCUUAGACCUUUAAAAAGCAUAUAUAUAUCCACAAGAAGUCCCAGCUGGAAAAAACUAAGUGCCAAUAAUUCACAAAAUACUCUUGCAAUUUUAUCUGCAUUAACAACCUCUUGGAGUCCAAUUUAAUCUUGAUCAUUAUUUUAUGGAAACGGUUUUGUAACAAAUAAGAAAUAAAAUGAAAAUAUUUUUGAAGGUUCUCUCAGACCUGCCUUCUUUAUGAUAUAUUUAUAAACAAUAUUAAUUCAAAUGCCCUUUGAUCCAGGCACACCACUCCUUGACAUUUUAUGCCGAUAUUACACCUGUACUCCAAAUAAGAUUUUACACAACUCUGAACUUGUCCCAUUGCCUUAUAUCAAACAAGUUAGUUUUGUACUUCAGAGCUACGCAAAAAUUAGGUACAAGUACUAAUCCCACAAAUACUAUAGAUUAAAAGUUAAGAUGACAACAAGGAAUGAAUCAAAUGUACUUAGUGUGAAAUACACUGCAUAUCCCCAAUUACAAAAUAAAUUUGCAGUAGAUGUGUGUUCCAAAUUAAAGCAUCUACCUGUUACCAUGACUAAAACCUAAAAAGAGAAUAAAAGCCAAACCCCAGACAGUAAUAAUCAUAGUAAUAAUAUGUAAAACACAAGUAGUCAAUUUAGAUAAAACUAAAUUAAAAAAAAAAAAAAUCAAUCUAUUCAGCCUCUUGUAGGAAUACACAAAAAUGAUUCCUUAUUUGUCAUCACCUUAUUCCAAUAUGAUCUGAAGUAUGUAUUUUAGCCUAAAUGACAUCAUGAAAAACUGAAAUGUCCCAAGUUAUCCAGUAUGCUUUAUGUUAAGUGGAACCAAAAAAAUUCAGAUGUGUUUGGAUAAAAGUUACAAUAAAUUCUGAUACUUAGGGAGCUUUUUUCCUGACAUUUUUUUGGUGAUAUUUCUGUAUGUCGGAAGCUACAUUUCAGAUAUGCUUUCAGCUUUCAUUCUGGGUUUGUUUUUCUAAAAAUACAGUCAUGUUAUGCUGUAAGAGAACCUUUCUUGUUCAUUUUCCAUCCUUUCCAUACUUUUCUCCAAAACAAGGGUCAAAAAAAUAAAACCUGCCAGGCAAAUUAUCUUGUAUUCUUGAAGCAUCUGAAGAUGAGAAUAAAGGUUUUUUUUUUUUUUUUUUUU